GCCUCGAUAGUAUAACGGCUAGUACGAAGGUCUCAUAUCGGUCAUCAAUAUGACCAAGCAUGGCUUGGGUAAUCCUUAGAUGGGAGUUCGAUUCUCCCUCGAGGCA
Aureobasidium subglaciale EXF-2481 is the source of this 106-nucleotide transfer RNA. It matches the Rfam family "tRNA". Rfam says of the family: Transfer RNA (tRNA) molecules are approximately 80 nucleotides in length. Their secondary structure includes four short double-helical elements and three loops (D, anti-codon, and T loops). The record is from Rfam. Lineage: Eukaryota; Fungi; Ascomycota; Dothideomycetes; Dothideales; Saccotheciaceae.